This 1321-nucleotide long non-coding RNA is filed under the name Ananas comosus (pineapple). RNAcentral's name for it is "long non-coding RNA (ACOM_LNC010284)". The record is from RNAcentral. Lineage: Eukaryota; Viridiplantae; Streptophyta; Magnoliopsida; Poales; Bromeliaceae.
AAGUUAAACUGUUAGGGCGCAACUGAGUAGUCUAACGUUGUUCUGGUUUUGGUUCUUGUGAACGUCGACAUCGAUUCGUUCCCAAUUUACACUCUCGGGGCAUAAUAAAAUAAUAUAAUUAGGUUAUACUAUUUGUUCGAUAGAAUGAGAAAAAGUACUCGUUGCAAAGUUAUACUGUUAGGACGCAAUUGAGUAGUCUAAUGUUGUUCCGGUUUUUGUUCUUGUGAACGUUGACAUCGAUUCAUUCCAAAUUUACACUCUCGGGGCAUAGUAGAACAAUAUAAUUAGCUUUUACUCUUUGUUCGAUAAAAUGAGAAAAAGUACCCCUUGCAAAGUUAUACUGUUAGGGCGCAACUCAGUAGUCUAAUGUUGUUCCGAUUUUUGUUCUUGUGAACAUUGACAUCGAUUCGUUCCAAAUUUACUCUUUCGGGGCAUAAUAGAACAAUAUAAUUAGGUUUAACUCUUUGUUCGAUAGAAUGAGAAAAAGUACUCGUUGCAAUGUUAUANNNNNNNNNNNNNNNNNNNNNNNNNGAUUUAAUGAGAAAAAGUACUCGUUGCAAAGUUAUACUGUUUAGGCGCAACUGAGUAUUGUAAUAUUGUUCCGGUUUUAGUUCUUGUGAACGUUGACAUCGAUUCGUUCCAAAUUUACACUAUCGGGGCAUAAUAGAGCAAUAUAAUUAGGUUUUACUCUUUGUUGGAUAGAAUGAGAAAAAGUACUCGUCGCAAGGUUAUACUGUUAGGGUGCAACUGAGUAGUCUAAUGUUGUUCCGGUUUUGGUUCUUGUAAAUGUUGACAUCGAUUCGUUCCAAAUUUAUACUCUCGGGGCAUAAUAGAACAAUAUAAAUAGGUUUUUCUCUUUUUUCGAUAGAAUGAGAAAAAAUACUCGUCGCAAAGUUAUACUGUUAGGGCGUAAUUGAGUAUUCUAAUGUUGUUCCGGUUUUGGUUCUUGCGAACGUUGACAACAAUUCAUUCCAAAUUUAUACUCUUGGGGCAUAAUAGAAUAAUAUAAUUAGGUUUUACUCUUUGUUCGAUAGAAUGAGAAAUCGUACUCGUCGCAAAGUUACACUGUUAGUUCGCAAUUGAGUAGUCUAAUGUUGUUCCGGUUUUUAUUCUUGUGAACGUUGACAUCGAUUCGUUCCAAAUAUACACUCUCUGGGCAUAAUAGGAGAAUAUAAUUAGGUUUUACGCUUUGUUCGAUAGAAAGAGAAAAAGUACUCGUUGCAAAGUUAUGCUGUUAGGGCGCAANNNNNNNNNNNNNNNNNNNNNNNNNCAUCGAUUCGUUCCAAAUUUAUACUCUCGGGGCAUAAUAGAACAAUAUAAA